UAGCAGAGUGAUCAGAAACUAAUUGGCACCGUAACCUGCAUUUGGACUUUGGCAUCAGACAGACCUGGGUUCUAGGCCAGUGUGGAGAUGCUGCUGGUUCUAUAACCUCAAAGGACGUUGUGUGUAUGUAAUAUCUGGAGUCUUCGGGGAAUCACUUUUUUCACUUAAUACUGACUUGCCAAGCUAGUGAACCAUCAAAGAUUUCCUCAAUUAUCUAGCUACAAACAAGGGGGAAGGUCUGUCUCUUUAAAUCUUCCAGUGGAUGCUGCUGGAGGAAGCCACUGCUGCCAAGUGGAUC
This is a long non-coding RNA of Rhinopithecus roxellana (golden snub-nosed monkey), 298 nucleotides long. RefSeq lists it as uncharacterized. The transcript is spliced from 3 exons. The record is from RefSeq and is a predicted model, not a curated record. NCBI's taxonomy places the organism in Eukaryota, Metazoa, Chordata, Mammalia, Primates, Cercopithecidae.